Molecule: ribosomal RNA, 279 nt
Filed under: uncultured bacterium
Lineage: Bacteria
Description: partial 16S ribosomal RNA
Rfam family: Bacterial small subunit ribosomal RNA
Source: RNAcentral
UGCCAGCCGCCGCGGUAAUACGGAGGGGGUUAGCGUUGUUCGGAAUUACUGGGCGUAAAGCGGGUGUAGGCGGAUUGGUCAGUCAGAGGUGAAAGCCCAGGGCUCAACCCUGGAAUAGCCUUCGAUACUGCCAGUCUUGAGUAUGGGAGAGGUGAGCGGAAUUCCGAGUGUAGAGGUGAAAUUCGUAGACAUUCGGAGGAACACCAGAGGCGAAGGCGGCUCACUGGACCAUUACUGACGCUGAGAUCCGAAAGCUAGGGUAGCGAACGGGAUUAGAUA